UACGGAGGGUGCGAGCGUUGUCCGGAAUCAUUGGGCGUAAAGGGCGCGUAGGUGGCCCGGUCAGUCUUUGGUGAAAGCGCGGGGCUCAACCCUGCGUCGGCCAGGGAUACUGCCGCGGCUCGAGCACUGUAGAGGCAGGCGGAAUUCCGGGUGUAGCGGUGAAAUGCGCAGAUAUCAGGAGGAACACCGGUGGCGAAGGCGGGUCUCUGGGCCGAUACUGACGCUGAGGAGCGAAAGCAUGGGUAGCGAACAGG
RNAcentral lists this ribosomal RNA (254 nucleotides) under uncultured bacterium. RNAcentral describes it as "partial 16S ribosomal RNA". It matches the Rfam family "Bacterial small subunit ribosomal RNA", at positions 524 to 776 of the family's 1533-position model. The record is from RNAcentral.